AACCAUUCUCACCUGCGGCUAGACCUGCGGAGGGAUCAUUACCGAGUUUACAACUCCCAAACCCCUGUGAACAUACCUAUACGUUGCCUCGGCGGAUCAGCCCGCGCCCUGUAAAAAGGGACGGCCCGCCCGAGGACCCUAAACUCUGUUUUUAGUGGAACUUCUGAGUAAAACAAACAAAUAAAUCAAAACUUUUAACAACGGAUCU
This 208-nucleotide unclassified non-coding RNA is filed under the name soil metagenome. RNAcentral describes it as "partial contains 5.8S ribosomal RNA, internal transcribed spacer 2, and large subunit ribosomal RNA". The record is from RNAcentral.